CGGAGCCCCACCUACUUUGAGCAUGAACGGAUUCGGCAUCCUCGCAGUCAAAGGAACCGCAGACUCCUCAAGGAACAAGAUUCUACCUUCCCAGUAUUCACAGCAGAGUUCUCACAGCCAGCAUUACAAAUGGAAACAACAGCUUUGGGCCCCUGCGCCGUACGUCAGAAGUCACCCUAACCGACGUGCCCUGGCACUUACUUCCCAAGGCUGGCUACGGCACGCUACGUUACCUCUCGUGCUUCUGCCUAUACGACCUGGUAAACCAGAGCAACUGCUCUUCCUUGAGCACAUGCGUCCGUGCAUGGCGAGCCGCGCAACGGAUUGUGGUAUAGCAGGCGCAAGCGAGCGGUGUCAUCCUUUGGUGGAUUAGGUGACCAACAUCAAAAGAAGAGCACGCUCUACUUCGGCGGAAACCGUGGCCACCGACUCAAGAGAACACUGGUCCGCACCACUU
Ornithodoros turicata is the source of this 457-nucleotide long non-coding RNA. RefSeq lists it as uncharacterized. The transcript is spliced from 3 exons. NCBI's taxonomy places the organism in Eukaryota, Metazoa, Arthropoda, Arachnida, Ixodida, Argasidae. The record is from RefSeq and is a predicted model, not a curated record.